Molecule: ribosomal RNA, 305 nt
Filed under: uncultured bacterium
Lineage: Bacteria
Description: bacterial SSU rRNA
Rfam family: Bacterial small subunit ribosomal RNA
Source: RNAcentral
CCUACGGGGCGCAGCAGUGGGGAAUAUUGCACAAUGGGGGGAACCCUGAUGCAGCAAUGCCGCGUGAAGGAUGAAGGUUUUCGGAUUGUAAACUUCUUUUGUACGGGACGAAGAAAGUGACGGUACCGUAAGAAUAAGCCACGGCUAACUACGUGCCAGCAGCCGCGGUAAUACGUAGGUGGCAAGCGUUAUCCGGAUUUACUGGGUGUAAAGGGCGAGUAGGCGGGAUUGCAAGUCAGAUGUGAAAACUAUGGGCUCAACCUGUGGCCUGCAUUUGAAACUGUUUUUCUUGAGUACUGGAGAGG